Acanthosepion pharaonis is the source of this 114-nucleotide non-coding RNA. The record is from the annotation of a GenBank genome assembly. Lineage: Eukaryota; Metazoa; Mollusca; Cephalopoda; Sepiida; Sepiidae.
UUACGGCUAUAUCACGUUGAAAUACUAGUUCUCAUACGAUCAUCGAAGUUAAGCAACGUCGAGCCUGGUCAGUACCUAAAUAUGUGACCGUUUGGGAAUAGCAGCUGCUGCAAG